CCUACGGGAGGCAGCAGUGAGGAAUAUUGGUCAAUGGACGCAAGUCUGUACCAGCCAUGCCGCGUGCAGGAAGACGGCUCUAUGAGUUGUAAACUGCUUUUGUACGAGGGUAAACGCAGAUACGCGUAUCUGUAUGAAAGUAUCGUACGAAUAAGGAUCGGCUAACUCCGUGCCAGCAGCCGCGGUAAUACGGAGGAUUCAAGCGUUAUCCGGAUUUAUUGGGUUUAAAGGGUGCGUAGGCGGUCGGAUAAGUUAGAGGUGAAAUCCCGAGGCUCAACUUCGGAAUUGCCUCUGAGACUGUUCGGCUAGAGAGGAGUUGCGGUAGGCGGAAUGUAUGGUGUAGCGGUGAAAUGCUUAGAGAUCAUACAGAACACCGAUUGCGAAGGCAGCUUACCAAGCUACUUCUGACGUUGAGGCACGAAAGCGUGGGGAGCAAACAGGAUUAGAUACCCUUGUAGUC
RNAcentral lists this ribosomal RNA (460 nucleotides) under uncultured bacterium. RNAcentral describes it as "partial 16S ribosomal RNA". It matches the Rfam family "Bacterial small subunit ribosomal RNA", at positions 338 to 795 of the family's 1533-position model. The record is from RNAcentral.